AAAGGUCGGCAUCGGUGCCAGAUGACAAGAGACCCCGUCCGCUCUCCCAUAGAUAAGCCUGUAAUCGGCAGAUUAGUAGUUGGGUCGGUGACGACCAGCGAACACCGGCUGUUGUAUGUU
This 120-nucleotide ribosomal RNA is filed under the name [Torrubiella] hemipterigena. The record is from RNAcentral. Lineage: Eukaryota; Fungi; Ascomycota; Sordariomycetes; Hypocreales; Clavicipitaceae.